RNAcentral lists this transfer RNA (75 nucleotides) under Ilumatobacteraceae bacterium. RNAcentral describes it as "tRNA-Arg". It matches the Rfam family "tRNA". Rfam says of the family: Transfer RNA (tRNA) molecules are approximately 80 nucleotides in length. Their secondary structure includes four short double-helical elements and three loops (D, anti-codon, and T loops). The record is from RNAcentral. RNAcentral also lists the same sequence under 2 other names. Lineage: Bacteria; Bacillati; Actinomycetota; Acidimicrobiia; Acidimicrobiales; Ilumatobacteraceae.
GCCCUCGUAGCUCAGGGGAUAGAGCAUCGGUUUCCGGAACCGUGUGCGGGAGUUCGAAUCUCUCCGAGGGCGCCA